GACGAACGCUGGCGGCGUGCUUAACACAUGCAAGUCGAACGGAAAGGCCCUGCUUUUGUGGGGUGCUCGAGUGGCGAACGGGUGAGUAACACGUGAGUAACCUGCCCUUGACUUUGGGAUAACUUCAGGAAACUGGGGCUAAUACCGGAUAGGAGCUCCUGCUGCAUGGUGGGGGUUGGUAAGUUUCGGCGGUUGGGGAUGGACUCGCGGCUUAUCAGCUUGUUGGUGGGGUAGUGGCUUACCAAGGCUUUGACGGGUAGCCGGCCUGAGAGGGUGACCGGCGACAUUGGGACUGAGAUACGGCCCAGACUCCUACGGGAGGCAGCAGUGGGGAAUAUUGCACAAUGGGCGGAAGCCUGAUGCAGCAACGCCGCGUGCGGGAUGACGGCCUUCGGGUUGUAAACCGCUUUCGCCUGUGACGAAGCGUGAGUGACGGUAAUGGGUAAAGAAGCACCGGCUAACUACGUG
This 468-nucleotide ribosomal RNA is filed under the name uncultured bacterium. RNAcentral's name for it is "partial 16S ribosomal RNA". It matches the Rfam family "Bacterial small subunit ribosomal RNA", at positions 28 to 507 of the family's 1533-position model. The record is from RNAcentral.